GCGAGCGUAGUAUAGUGGCAGUACACGACCUUCCCAAGGUUGGGGCGUGGGUUCGAUUCCCAUCGUUCGCU
This 71-nucleotide transfer RNA is filed under the name Candidatus Moranbacteria bacterium RIFCSPHIGHO2_02_FULL_40_12b. Its description in RNAcentral is "tRNA-Gly". It matches the Rfam family "tRNA". From Rfam's summary of the family: Transfer RNA (tRNA) molecules are approximately 80 nucleotides in length. Their secondary structure includes four short double-helical elements and three loops (D, anti-codon, and T loops). RNAcentral also lists the same sequence under 1 other name. The record is from RNAcentral. Lineage: Bacteria; Candidatus Moraniibacteriota.